Molecule: ribosomal RNA, 253 nt
Filed under: uncultured bacterium
Lineage: Bacteria
Description: partial 16S ribosomal RNA
Rfam family: Bacterial small subunit ribosomal RNA
Source: RNAcentral
UACGGAGGAUUCGAGCGUUAUCCGGAUUUAUUGGGUUUAAAGGGAGCGUAGGCGGGUUGUUAAGUCAGUUGUGAAAGUUUGCGGCUCAACCGUAAAAUUGCAGUUGAUACUGGCAUCCUUGAGUACAGUAGAGGUAGGCGGAAUUCGUGGUGUAGCGGUGAAAUGCUUAGAUAUCACGAAGAACUCCGAUUGCGAAGGCAGCCUGCUGGACUGUAACUGACGCUGAGGCUCGAAAGUGUGGGUAUCAAACAGG